Pieris rapae (cabbage white) is the source of this 878-nucleotide long non-coding RNA. RefSeq lists it as uncharacterized. The record is from RefSeq and is a predicted model, not a curated record. The transcript has 2 exons. NCBI's taxonomy places the organism in Eukaryota, Metazoa, Arthropoda, Insecta, Lepidoptera, Pieridae.
UUGCGCCAUUUCUGCACGUCAUCUGCGUACCGAAAUUCGUUGCCAAACGUAUGGAUCAGCUCCUCCUUCACUUGCUCCCAGGUGGUUGAAUGCAGAGACCAGGUGUCAGCCCAUGUUUUGGCUCGUCCUCUUAACUGCAAAAUGGCCUUCAUUCGAGCUUCAUGUGGAGGGACCAUCAGCUUCGUGAUAGUUUCGUCUACGUUAGCGCACCAGUCCCUGAUGUCGUGCGAUCUCUCAUCAGGGUUAAACGGAGCGCUUGUCGCGGCAGUCUUCGUAAUGGAGGUCAAGAGACCCAUCACUUGUUCCAUAGUGAAGGUCGUGUCGUUUGAAGAGUCCGAAGUCUCUUGGGGAUGUGAUCCCACCGCUGCUGUCGGCGUUCCGCCAUAAUUAUCACGUCCAGACUCCAUUAUAAUGAAAACACACAACUAGUAUCACUUGAUUUAUUUAUCACACGAUUUUAGCACAAUAACUAACUCAAAAUGCGAGCUGCCAUCUUAUUUAUACAAACCAACUGUCGUUUUAAAUUUUAACGUUUAACAACUGUAAAUUCAUGUAAUCAAAAUUACUGUACAAUUAAUUACGAAAUAUAGUUUAAAAAUCAACAUUAAUAUUAUAAUGAAUUUUACAUAAUUCCAAAUGAUUUAUUUUACACAAAUUACUUUACUUUACAAUUUAUUUUAAUAACAAAACGACCAUUAAUAAUAACAAAGUUCGUCGACAGAUGGCGUUAUUUACAAAUAUAAACAUGGUAAUUAUUACACAGAAUAAUGUGUUUAGAAUAACAAAACGACCAUUAAUAAUAACAACGUUCGUCGACAGAUGGCGUUAUUUACAAAUAUAAACAUGGUAAUUAUUACACAGAAUAAUGUGUUUAGAAU